Molecule: small nucleolar RNA, 130 nt
Organism: Arvicanthis niloticus (Nile rat)
Lineage: Eukaryota; Metazoa; Chordata; Mammalia; Rodentia; Muridae
Product: small nucleolar RNA SNORA17
Source: RefSeq, a predicted model, not a curated record
CUUGCCCCUAGAAGCCUUGCAGGUGUGGCUGCUGUGUCACAUGUGAAUCAGUAGGUGGCAGGGAGGAGCGAGCAUGUCUGUGCUCAGUGUUCUGACUUAUGGACAUCUGGAUGAUUAGCAGCCUUUUCCU